GACGAACGCUGGCGGCGUGCCUAAUACAUGCAAGUCGAACGAGAGCACCCGGUGCUUGCCCUGGUCAAUCUAGUGGCGAACGGGUGAGUAACACGUGGGUAACCUGCCCAUCAGAGGGGGAUAACAUCCGGAAACGGAUGCUAAAACCGCAUAGGUCUUCGAACCGCAUGGUUUGAAGAGGAAAAGAGGCGCAAGCUUCUGCUGAUGGAUGGACCCGCGGUGCAUUAGCUAGUUGGUGGGGUAACGGCUCACCAAGGCCGUGAUGCAUAGCCGACCUGAGAGGGUGAUCGGCCACAUUGGGACUGAGACACGGCCCAAACUCCUACGGGAGGCAGCAGUAGGGAAUCUUCCGCAAUGGACGCAAGUCUGACGGAGCAACGCCGCGUGAGUGAAGAAGGUUUUCGGAUCGUAAAACUCUGUUGUUAGAGAAGAACAAGUGCUAGAGUAACUGUUAGCGCCUUGACGGUAUCUAACCAGAAAGCCACGGCUAACUACGUG
Molecule: ribosomal RNA, 498 nt
Filed under: uncultured bacterium
Lineage: Bacteria
Description: partial 16S ribosomal RNA
Rfam family: Bacterial small subunit ribosomal RNA
Source: RNAcentral